This 497-nucleotide ribosomal RNA is filed under the name uncultured bacterium. Its description in RNAcentral is "partial 16S ribosomal RNA". It matches the Rfam family "Bacterial small subunit ribosomal RNA", at positions 28 to 507 of the family's 1533-position model. The record is from RNAcentral.
GAUGAACGCUGGCGGCGUGCCUAAUACAUGCAAGUCGAGCGAACGGACGAGAAGCUUGCUUCUCUGAUGUUAGCGGCGGACGGGUGAGUAACACGUGGAUAACCUACCUAUAAGACUGGGAUAACUUCGGGAAACCGGAGCUAAUACCGGAUAAUAUUUUGAACCGCAUGGUUCAAAAGUGAAAGACGGUCUUGCUGUCACUUAUAGAUGGAUCCGCGCUGCAUUAGCUAGUUGGUAAGGUAACGGCUUACCAAGGCAACGAUGCAUAGCCGACCUGAGAGGGUGAUCGGCCACACUAGAACUGAGACACGGUCCAGACUCCUACGGGAGGCAGCGGUAGGGAAUCUUCCGCAAUGGGCGAAAGCCUGACGGAGCAACGCCGCGUGAGUGAUGAAGGUCUUCGAAUCGUAAAACUCUGUUAUUAGAGAAGAACAUAUGUGUAAGUAACUGUGCACAUCUUGACGGUACCUAAUCAGAAAGCCACGGCUAACUACGUG